This 542-nucleotide long non-coding RNA is filed under the name Panax ginseng (ginseng). Its description in RNAcentral is "long non-coding RNA (PGIN_LNC015720)". Lineage: Eukaryota; Viridiplantae; Streptophyta; Magnoliopsida; Apiales; Araliaceae. The record is from RNAcentral.
AAAACCUUUGGAGAGUGGCACCGCAGCGCCACUAGAAUGCUUCUGAUGUCGCGCCGCAGCGCGAGUUCAGUGCUUUUGAUAGUAACUUAGGUUUUGAGCUUCAAUUAUUUCGAGACCUACUUGAGUUGAGUUUAUAUACUCAAAGAAAGUACUAAGACUAAUCCUAUAUUACCUAUACUAAGGUAUAGAGUAUGAAACUUAGGAAUGUAAUGCAUGUUAACAAGAUAUGUACAACGAACAAAGUUGGUACUUUAUCAAAGAUGUUUGAGUCCGGUUAAUAAACGUCAAUAGAGUGAUACACCAGGACGAAGGGUAAUAAGUCAUGUUGACUUUAAUAAAGAUAUUAAGUUAACACAGACAUAGAAGAGAAAGAAGCUUGUAGGAACAAUGUGAAUAGUUGUUUAAUAGCUAAUUACAGUGUGUUAUGUGAACAUAUCAUGUAGAUUCUGUAAAGGCUAUUGUGACAGUCCCCGAAUCCGGUUCGCUAUUUCUACAACUGUUUGCGGAAGAUAUAAACAUAGAUUGUUUAUACAUUAAACUUU